GAUGAACGCUGGCGGCGUGCCUAAUACAUGCAAGUCGAGCGAACAGACGAGGAGCUUGCUCCUCUGACGUUAGCGGCGGACGGGUGAGUAACACGUGGAUAACCUACCUAUAAGACUGGGAUAACUUCGGGAAACCGGAGCUAAUACCGGAUAAUAUAUUGAACCGCAUGGUUCAAUAGUGAAAGACGGUUUUGCUGUCACUUAUAGAUGGAUCCGCGCCGCAUUAGCUAGUUGGUAAGGUAACGGCUUACCAAGGCAACGAUGCGUAGCCGACCUGAGAGGGGGGACCGGCCACAAGGAAACUGAGCAACGUCCCAGAGCCUAAGGGGAGGCAGAGUUGGGAAUCUUUCGCAAAUGGGGGAAAGCUUGACGGAGCAAUGCCGGGUGAGUGAGGAAGUGCUCCGGACGGUAAACCGUUGUUAUAGGGAAGAACAAAUGUGUAAGUAACUAUGCACGUCUUGACGGUACCUAAUCAGAAAGCCACGGCUAACUACGUG
Molecule: ribosomal RNA, 497 nt
Filed under: uncultured bacterium
Lineage: Bacteria
Description: partial 16S ribosomal RNA
Rfam family: Bacterial small subunit ribosomal RNA
Source: RNAcentral